RNAcentral lists this transfer RNA (70 nucleotides) under Dipodomys ordii (Ord's kangaroo rat). It matches the Rfam family "tRNA". From Rfam's summary of the family: Transfer RNA (tRNA) molecules are approximately 80 nucleotides in length. Their secondary structure includes four short double-helical elements and three loops (D, anti-codon, and T loops). Lineage: Eukaryota; Metazoa; Chordata; Mammalia; Rodentia; Heteromyidae. The record is from Rfam by way of RNAcentral.
GGAAAUGUGGCUUAGUGGUAGAGUGCUUGCCUAGCAUGCAUGAAGCCCUGGGUUCGAUUCCUCAGUACCA